Phycodurus eques (leafy seadragon) is the source of this 138-nucleotide small nucleolar RNA. RefSeq annotates it as small nucleolar RNA SNORD94. The record is from RefSeq and is a predicted model, not a curated record. Lineage: Eukaryota; Metazoa; Chordata; Actinopteri; Syngnathiformes; Syngnathidae. The transcript has a single exon.
GCCGUCAUGAUGAGAGGCGCAGGGGUACGGACCUCAGCCGAUCGUGGGGGCUGAGUGGCGCCGCCGACGUCCCGUCGCUGGGCGUGUGGCCCGGCGGCGGGCGGGCGGCGACACGACACAGACGCCUGACUGAACGGU